RNAcentral lists this ribosomal RNA (852 nucleotides) under Triticum aestivum (bread wheat). RNAcentral describes it as "partial small subunit ribosomal RNA". Lineage: Eukaryota; Viridiplantae; Streptophyta; Magnoliopsida; Poales; Poaceae. The record is from RNAcentral.
AUGCUUGAAACCUUCGUGUUGCAACGAAAUCAGCUAUCCGGUCCAGUACCUCCAACUAUAUUCAAUAUGUCUAGACUACAGGUUCUGGUCCUCACCAAAAACACCUACUUAACAGGACCCAUCCCUGGCAACAAAAGCUUUAAUCUGCCCAUGUUGCUAAAUUUCCGUAUGGGUGGCAACAGUUUUCAAGGUCGUAUUCCAUUAGGACUUGUAUCAUGCAGAUAUCUCAAAGCAAUUACCCUAUCCGACAACUCUUUUGUGGACUUUAUCCCAGCAUGGUUUUCUAAACUGGCACAACUCACUCUCCUUAGUUUAGCUGUAAAUGGCCUUGUUCGUUCAAUUCCGGCUGAGCUCAGUAAUCUCACUUUGCUAAAUGGGCUUGAUCUCUCAAGUUGCAAUCUAAGUGGAAAGAUCCCGGAUGAAUUAGCAGAAAUGGGUCAGCUCACAUAUUUACAUUUGUCAGAUAAUCAAUUAACAGGUUUGUUUCCGGCUUUUGUCGGUAACCUAUCCCGACUGUCUAUGCUAGGAAUACAAUCGAACCAUUUAACUGGAUUAGUCCCGGUAAUUUUCGACAACCUCAGAUCCCUUAAAUUUCUUGACAUUGGAAGCAAUCAUUUCAAAGGGACACUCGAUUUCCUGUCCACUCUCUCCAUCUGUAGACAACUCCAGAACAUCGUCAUAGAAAUGUAUUCUUUCACCGGGAGCAUUCCCGCUUACAUUGGAAAUCUCUCUACAAUGCUAAAUUCCUUUUUUGCAGACUUCAACCGUUUAAUUGGCAUGAUCCCGGCAACAAUAUCAAAUCUAAGUGAUCUUAGUGCAGUAUCUUUUCCUGGCAACCAAUUUGUUGGAUAA